RNAcentral lists this ribosomal RNA (583 nucleotides) under uncultured bacterium. RNAcentral describes it as "bacterial SSU rRNA". It matches the Rfam family "Bacterial small subunit ribosomal RNA", at positions 408 to 1006 of the family's 1533-position model. The record is from RNAcentral.
AAGAAGGUCUUCGGAUUGUAAAGCACUUUCGUUGGGGACGAUGAUGACGGUACCCAAAGAAGAAGCCCCGGCUAACUUCGUGCCAGCAGCCGCGGUAAUACGAAGGGGGCUAGCGUUGCUCGGAAUGACUGGGCGUAAAGGGCGCGUAGGCGGUUUGAACAGUCAGACGUGAAAUUCCUGGGCUUAACCUGGGGGCUGCGUUUGAGACGUUUGGGCUAGAGUGAGGAAGAGGGUCGUGGAAUUCCCACUGUAGAGGUGAAAUUCGUAGAUAUUGGGAAGAACACCGGUGGCGAAGGCGGNGACCUGGUCCUUUACUGACGCUGAGGCGCGAAAGCGUGGGGAGCAAACAUGAUUAGAUACCCUGGUAGUCCACGCUGUAAACGAUGUGUGCUGGAUGUUGGGUUACUUACUAACUCAAUGUCGUAGCUAACGCGAUAAAGCACACCGCCUGGGGAGUCCGGCCGCAAGGUUGAAACUCAAAGGAAUUGACGGGGGCCCGCACAAGCGGUGGAGCAUGUGGUUUAAUUCGAAGCAACGCGCAGAACCUUACCAGGGCUUGACAUGGGGAGGCUAGGCACAGAGA